This 339-nucleotide long non-coding RNA is filed under the name Brassica napus (rape). Its description in RNAcentral is "long non-coding RNA (BNAP_LNC010725)". The record is from RNAcentral. Lineage: Eukaryota; Viridiplantae; Streptophyta; Magnoliopsida; Brassicales; Brassicaceae.
UAAAUCAGGAGACAUAAACAAUACAUAACAAAGUAUGAUUCAGACAUAAGAGACAGAAUGUAGAGGCCAACACAACAACCAAAUCAAAAUAACUAAGACCGAUUCAGGUUUGAUUUCGAUUUACCUUUCGGUUUGACGAUCGAGAGCGAGACGCAGAGGCGUCGACAGCUAGAGAAGGAUGGCGGAGCCGUCGACGAUCGAGAGCGAGACGCGGAGGCGUCGACAGCUAGAGAAGGACGGCGGAGCCGUCGACGAUCGAGAGCGAGACGCGGAGGCGUCGAGGAGAGCCACAGAGACGAGUAGUCGUCGAGAGGGGCGCCGACUGAUUCCGUCGAGGAG